RNAcentral lists this ribosomal RNA (478 nucleotides) under uncultured anaerobic ammonium-oxidizing bacterium. RNAcentral describes it as "bacterial SSU rRNA". It matches the Rfam family "Bacterial small subunit ribosomal RNA", at positions 365 to 833 of the family's 1533-position model. The record is from RNAcentral.
UUCGCAAUGCCCGAAAGGGUGACGAAGCGACGCCGCGUGCGGGAAGAAGGCCUUCGGGCUGUAAACCGCUGUCGGGAGUUAGGAAAUGCAAGGAUGUUAAUAGCGUCCUUGCUUGACUAAGGCUCCGGAGGAAGCCACGGCUAACUCUGUACCAGCAGCCGCGGUAAUACAGAGGCGGCAAGCGUUGUUCGGAAUUAUUGGGCGUAAAGAGCACGUAGGCGGCUGUGUAAGUCGGUUGUGAAAGCCUUCCGCUUAACGGAAGAACGGCAUCCGAUACUGCAUAGCUUGAGUGCGGGAGGGGAGAGUGGAACUUCUGGUGGAGCGGUGAAAUGCGUAGAUAUCAGAAGGAACACCGGCGGCGAAGGCGACUCUCUGGUCCGUAACUGACGCUGAGUGUGCGAAAGCUAGGGGAGCAAACGGGAUUAGAUACCCUGGUAGUCCUAGCCGUAAACGAUGGGCACUAAGUAGAGGGGUUUUA